CUAAGUGCAUGUGGUGGAUGCCUUGGCGAUCACAGGCGAUGAAGGACGUGCAAGCCUGCGAAAAGCGGGGGGGAGCUGGCAAUGAAGCUUUGAUCCCCCGAUAUCCGAAUGGGGAAACCCACCUCUUUUGAGGUAUCCCAUACUGAAUACAUAGGUAUGGGAGGCGAACCCGGUGAACUGAACAUCUAAGUAGCCGGAGGAAAAGAAAAUCAACCGAGAUUCCCCAAGUAGUGGCGAGCGAACGGGGAAGAGCCUGCUAGUGAUAGCGGAACUGUUAGAAGAACGGAAUGGAAAGUCCGGCCGUAGUGGGUGAUAGCCCCGUAUUCGAAAACAGCUCCGUGGUACUAAGUUAGCGAAAAGUAGGGCGGGGCACGUGAAACCUUGUCUGAACAUGGGGGGACCAGUCCUCCAAGGCUAAAUACUCGUGAUCGACCGAUAGUGAACCAGUACCGUGAGGGAAAGGCG
RNAcentral lists this ribosomal RNA (465 nucleotides) under uncultured bacterium. Its description in RNAcentral is "bacterial LSU rRNA". It matches the Rfam family "Bacterial large subunit ribosomal RNA", at positions 11 to 516 of the family's 2925-position model. The record is from RNAcentral.